Molecule: long non-coding RNA, 1312 nt
Organism: Gallus gallus (chicken)
Lineage: Eukaryota; Metazoa; Chordata; Aves; Galliformes; Phasianidae
Source: Ensembl
GGUUGUUGGGCUAAAGUGGCUAUUUUUUACAGUGGGAAUAGCUGACCAUUGGAACAAGCUCAGAGACCUCAUAAACUCUUCACUGCACACAGCCCUGAAAAGCAGACUGGCUGCUCUUCUGCAAAUGAACCUGAAAUGACCAGUGGUGGCAAGAGAGAGAUGCUCCAUCUUCAGUUCAUGGUGACUUGGUGGACAAAACUGGAAAUAGACUUCCUAGAAGAAAACACAACAUGAAGAAAUCACAACCUUGAUCUUCAGCUGGCAAUGUCUGCACAAGGACCAGCAGAAGCUGUUGAUGUCUCUGUUCACUGUAGGGGAGUUGGACCAGAUGGCCUUUAUGGAUCCCUUCCAACUCAAACCAUUCUAUGAUUCUAUGGAUCUCAGAGCUCUUAGUGUCAAUGGGCAACAGGAGAAUUCCUCCCGCCUCUAUGAGGGAUCGAUAUCAUAUAGUAUCUUUGGUGGUUGCAGUGAUGGAAAUUAUGCUAGAUCACAGCUGGAGCAGCAGAAGAGUUGGACUCAGUGAUCCUUAUGGGUCCCUUCCAAAUCAGGAUAUUCUAUGAUUCAGUGAUUCCAUGAUUCUAAGAGUCUUUUAUGGGCUGCUUUCAGCCUGGAGGAGUUUGUGGGCUUGCUACUUCUCCAGGCACGUUCUGCAGUCAUAACAACAUAUGAUUUUUGAAUUAGUGUCACUGUCAUUCCAGGGAUGUGGAUCCAAGGGCAGUAGCCAUUGCAGGGUCAUAUCAGAAGAAUUAGAACAUACAAAUAGCUUUGCCCUCAUGGAUAUGAGAGCCUUCUCCAUAUGCUACGAGUCUAAAAAGGUCACAGCACUACAAGGAUAAAAGGCCUUCCAGGAGGUCAGAUGGAGCAUUGUGUCGGUAGGUCUUUGUACCUUACGUGUCCUUUCUCUGAUAUGAGGGGUUCAGACAAGCAUCAGGGCAGGAACUCCACAUCUGACAGUGACAUGACAUUAAACCCUUCAUUCAGCCAAGUUGGCCACCUCUCUGAUCAGCUGCCCAGCAGAAGGGCUGAGACCUUCCAAAAGUCUGCUCUGUGAAACUGAGAAUGCAAGGGGAACUAAGAGAUGAAGCCUCCUUCCCAUCCCAGCCCAACCCAUUUCACCCAUCCCUCCUUUACUCAGACAAGCCCAUUCCAGAGAGCCCUGCCAGAGCAGCACGCAGAGGACCCUGCAGCUGUCAGGUGUGCAAGCUGGCACUGUGCAACAGCUGAUUAAAAGAAGAUCCCCAUCUGCUGCAACACACAGGGAAGCUUCAUCUGCUCUGACAUCCCCCUGGCUGUAUCUCCUGUGCAAGUCGCG